UGCCAGCCGCCGCGGUAAUACGGAGGGUGCUAGCGUUAUUCGGAAUUACUGGGCGUAAAGGGCGCGUAGGCGGUCCGUUAAGUCAGAUGUGAAAGCCCUGGGCUCAACCCAGGAAUUGCAUUAGAUACUGGCGGGCUAGAGUUCAAGAGAGGUAAGUGGAAUUCCUAGUGUAGAGGUGAGAUUCGUAGAUAUUAGGAAGAACACCGGUGGCGAAGGCGACUUACUGGAUUGAUACUGACGCUGAGGCGCGAAAGCGUGGGGAGCAAACAGGAUUAGAUA
This 279-nucleotide ribosomal RNA is filed under the name uncultured bacterium. RNAcentral describes it as "partial 16S ribosomal RNA". It matches the Rfam family "Bacterial small subunit ribosomal RNA", at positions 506 to 784 of the family's 1533-position model. The record is from RNAcentral.